This 772-nucleotide ribosomal RNA is filed under the name uncultured bacterium. Its description in RNAcentral is "bacterial SSU rRNA". It matches the Rfam family "Bacterial small subunit ribosomal RNA", at positions 8 to 796 of the family's 1533-position model. The record is from RNAcentral.
AGAGUUUGAUCAUGGCUCAGGACGAACGCUGGCGGCGUGCUUAACACAUGCAAGUCGAACGGAAAGGCCCUUCGGGGUACUCGAGUGGCGAACGGGUGAGUAACACGUGGGUGAUCUGCCCUGCACUUUGGGAUAAGCCUGGGAAACUGGGUCUAAUACCGAAUACACCUCAUUGACUGCAUGGUUGGUGGGGGAAAGCUUUUGCGGUGUGGGAUGGGCCCGCGGCCUAUCAGCUUGUUGGUGAGGUUACGGCUCACCAAGGCGACGACGGGUAGCCGGCCUGAGAGGGUGACCGGCCACACUGGGACUGAGAUACGGCCCAGACUCCUACGGGAGGCAGCAGUGGGGAAUAUUGCACAAUGGGCGCAAGCCUGAUGCAGCGACGCCGCGUGGGGGAUGACGGCCUUCGGGUUGUAAACUCCUUUCAGCACAGACGAAGCGCAAGUGACGGUAUGUGCAGAAGAAGGACCGGCCAACUACGUGCCAGCAGCCGCGGUAAUACGUAGGGUCCGAGCGUUGUCCGGAAUUACUGGGCGUAAAGAGCUCGUAGGUGGUUUGUCGCGUUGUUCGUGAAAACUCACAGCUUAACUGUGGGCGUGCGGGCGAUACGGGCAGACUUGAGUACUGCAGGGGAGACUGGAAUUCCUGGUGUAGCGGUGGAAUGCGCAGAUAUCAGGAGGAACACCGGUGGCGAAGGCGGGUCUCUGGGCAGUAACUGACGCUGAGGAGCGAAAGCGUGGGGAGCGAACAGGAUUAGAUACCCUGGUAGUCC